GCUGAGAUAGCUCAGUUGGUUAGAGCGUUCCCAUGGUAAGGGAGAGGUCGCGAGUUCGACUCUCGCUCUCAGCUCCA
This 77-nucleotide transfer RNA is filed under the name Candidatus Dojkabacteria bacterium. RNAcentral describes it as "tRNA-Thr". It matches the Rfam family "tRNA". Rfam says of the family: Transfer RNA (tRNA) molecules are approximately 80 nucleotides in length. Their secondary structure includes four short double-helical elements and three loops (D, anti-codon, and T loops). Further hydrogen bonds mediate the characteristic L-shaped molecular structure. tRNAs have two regions of fundamental functional importance: the anti-codon, which is responsible for specific mRNA codon recognition, and the 3' end, to which the tRNAs corresponding amino acid is attached (by aminoacyl-tRNA synthetases). tRNAs cope with the degeneracy of the genetic code in two manners: having more than one tRNA (with a specific anti-codon) for a particular amino acid; and 'wobble' base-pairing, i.e. permitting non-standard base-pairing at the 3rd anti-codon position. The record is from RNAcentral.